RNAcentral lists this ribosomal RNA (24 nucleotides) under Nematolebias whitei (Rio pearlfish). RNAcentral's name for it is "partial 16S ribosomal RNA". Lineage: Eukaryota; Metazoa; Chordata; Actinopteri; Cyprinodontiformes; Rivulidae. The record is from RNAcentral.
UACUUAAAAGCUAGCCUUAAAAAA